AAAGGGGCUGAAAACUGCUGCUGCCAGCUACUGUUUAGUGCAGGGACUGAUUUGUGAACCUGCAGGGACUGAACUGCGAACUGCUGGUGUAAGGUACCGGACUUCUAAAACUAUGAAGUUACGGUGUACAUUUAAAUGGUUCCGGUGAGGUUGCAGUGGGAUGUAACAUACCGGAUUUUAAAUAUAAAAGUGAAAAUAAAUAAAAAUAGUAUGAGAUACUAUUUUUAUUGGAUUUAGAGAAGUGAAAUAUAGGUUGGGAAUGACCUGUGCUGAAAUCGGAGCGAAAACAGAAUAUUUAAAAUUUUCUGUGUGAAACGGGACAGAUAAAUUAGUAGAAAAUGCACAAUGUCAGAAAAUUAUGAAAAUUGGAGGAUAUGUCAGAAUUAUUUUUAUGAGGCUAAAUUUAAAGUUUCAUGCCAUUCUGACACCCAGAAAGUGGAAAAUAAAAUCCGACAGUUAUCUGAUAAAGAUUACAGUUCGGUACAGCUUUCAGUGACCAAACGGGGUUGAAACUGAAAUAUUAACAUUUCUUUGGACUCGUUAAAUAAAACCAAACAUGACUGUCAAAUUUGAGGUCAAAUGGAUAUUCAGGGAGCUCCGGCGAAAGAUAUCAGAUUUCGAGCUGCCUAGAGUUGAAUAGUGU
Molecule: long non-coding RNA, 643 nt
Filed under: Ananas comosus (pineapple)
Lineage: Eukaryota; Viridiplantae; Streptophyta; Magnoliopsida; Poales; Bromeliaceae
Description: long non-coding RNA (ACOM_LNC021267)
Source: RNAcentral